AGCCAUCUGAUUGUGCAUGUUUAAAAAAAUUAUUUGAGUCGUCCAUCAGGAUUUGCGUGGGGCGCUAGGAGCCAUCAGAUUAGAGCCUAUUCAGGGAAUCAAUCUGGAUUGUUCGUGCUCACAGGAGUGGACACGGACCGUUUGAUUGCCCUGGCAUGCAGAUUGCUUGUGUGUUUCCCGUGUAGAGCCCGUGUUAGUCUAUCUACCACCCGACAUGUCUUGACUCGUCGUGCUGCUGACAUGGCCGUCUUACGUGGUUGAUACUUUCCUUUUUACUAUU
RNAcentral lists this long non-coding RNA (280 nucleotides) under Carica papaya (papaya). RNAcentral's name for it is "long non-coding RNA (CPAP_LNC004714)". The record is from RNAcentral. Lineage: Eukaryota; Viridiplantae; Streptophyta; Magnoliopsida; Brassicales; Caricaceae.